CAAUAGCGUAUAUUUAAGUUGUUGCAGUUAAAAAGCUCGUAGUUGGAUUUCGGGUGGGACGCAGCGGUCUCGCAUUGCGUUUGUACUGCUGCAGCCCUCCUUCUUGCCGGGGGCGGCCUCUCGGACUUCACUGUCUGGGGGUCAGAAUCGGCGAUGUUACUUUGAGUAAAUUAGAGUGUUCAAAGCAAGCUUACGCUCUGAAUAUAAUAGCAUGGGAUAACACGACAGGACUCUGGCCUAUCGUGUUGGUCUAUAGGACCAGAGUAAUGAUUAAGAGGGACAGUCGGGGACAUUCGUAUUUCAUUGUCAGAGGUGAAAUUCUUGGAUUUAUGAAAGACGGACUUCUGCGAAAGCAUUUGUCAAGGAUGUUUUCAUUAA
This 378-nucleotide ribosomal RNA is filed under the name uncultured eukaryote. RNAcentral describes it as "partial 18S ribosomal RNA". It matches the Rfam family "Eukaryotic small subunit ribosomal RNA", at positions 592 to 976 of the family's 1831-position model. The record is from RNAcentral.